Molecule: ribosomal RNA, 416 nt
Filed under: Escherichia coli
Lineage: Bacteria; Pseudomonadati; Pseudomonadota; Gammaproteobacteria; Enterobacterales; Enterobacteriaceae
Description: partial 23S ribosomal RNA
Rfam family: Bacterial large subunit ribosomal RNA
Source: RNAcentral
CCCCGUACACAAAAAUGCACAUAUUGUGAGCUCGAUGAGUAGGGCGGGACACGUGGUAUCCUGUCUGAAUAUGGGGGGACCAUCCUCCAAGGCUAAAUACUCCUGACUGACCGAUAGUGAACCAGUACCGUGAGGGAAAGGCGAAAAGAACCCCGGCGAGGGGAGUGAAAAAGAACCUGAAACCGUGUACGUACAAGCAGUGGGAGCCUCUUUAUGGGGUGACUGCGUACCUUUUGUAUAAUGGGUCAGCGACUUAUAUUCUGUAGCAAGGUUAACCGAAUAGGGGAGCCGAAGGGAAACCGAGUCUUAACUGGGCGUUAAGUUGCAGGGUAUAGACCCGAAACCCGGUGAUCUAGCCAUGGGCAGGUUGAAGGUUGGGUAACACUAACUGGAGGACCGAACCGACUAAUGUUGAA